AAAUACAAUGAUGAAAGGACUGAUGGAUGGACAAUGAUUAACUAACCUUUAUUUUUAUUUGAAAUGAAUAACUUCAAACUACAAAAUAUAGGGUUAGUCUAUCCAUUUUUAUAAAUCAGUUAACACUUUAUUUGUCAUGAUUCUAAUGGGCAAAAAAGAACUUAUUUAAUAUAAGUGUAAGACUAAUCCUUCCAGUUACAAAUUGGGAGGAUUUUUUA
RNAcentral lists this small RNA (218 nucleotides) under Neobacillus massiliamazoniensis. RNAcentral describes it as "Bacillus sp. LF1 Bacillus sRNA ncr1575". It matches the Rfam family "Bacillus sRNA ncr1575". Lineage: Bacteria; Bacillati; Bacillota; Bacilli; Caryophanales; Bacillaceae. The record is from Rfam by way of RNAcentral.